GAUGAACGCUGGCGGCGUGCCUAAUACAUGCAAGUCGAGCGAAUGGAUUAAGAGCUUGCUCUUAUGAAGUUAGCGGCGGACGGGUGAGUAACACGUGGGUAACCUGCCCAUAAGACUGGGAUAACUCCGGGAAACCGGGGCUAAUACCGGAUAACAUUUUGAACCUCAUGGUUCGAAAUUGAAAGGCGGCUUCGGCUGUCACUUAUGGAUGGACCCGCGUCGCAUUAGCUAGUUGGUGAGGUAACGGCUCACCAAGGCAACGAUGCGUAGCCGACCUGAGAGGGUGAUCGGCCAGCCUGGGAGUGAGCCCCGGCCCAGACUCCUACGGGAGGCAGCAGUAGGGAAUCUUCCGCAAUGGACGAAAGUCUGACGGAGCAACGCCGCGUGAGUGAUGAAGGCUUUCGGGUCGUAAAACUCUGUUGUUAGGGAAGGACAAGUGCUAGUUGAAUAAGCUGGCACCUUGACGGUACCUAACCAGAAAGCCACGGCUAACUACGUGCCAGCCGCCGCGGUAA
This 515-nucleotide ribosomal RNA is filed under the name uncultured bacterium. Its description in RNAcentral is "partial 16S ribosomal RNA". It matches the Rfam family "Bacterial small subunit ribosomal RNA", at positions 28 to 523 of the family's 1533-position model. The record is from RNAcentral.